This 492-nucleotide ribosomal RNA is filed under the name uncultured bacterium. Its description in RNAcentral is "partial 16S ribosomal RNA". It matches the Rfam family "Bacterial small subunit ribosomal RNA", at positions 29 to 507 of the family's 1533-position model. The record is from RNAcentral.
AGUGAACGCUGGCGGUAGGCCUAACACAUGCAAGUCGAACGGCAGCACAGUAAGAGCUUGCUCUUACGGGUGGCGAGUGGCGGACGGGUGAGGUAUACAUCGGAAUCUACUUUUUCGUGGGGGAUAACGUAGGGAAACUUACGCUAAUACCGCAUACGACCUACGGGUGAAAGCAGGGGAUCUUCGGACCUUGCGCGAUUGAAUGAGCCGAUGUCGGAUUAGCUAGUUGGGGGGGUAAAGGCCCACCAAGUCGAGGAUCCGUAGCUGGUCUGAGUGGAUGAUCAGCCACACUGGAACUGAGACACGGUCCAGACUCCUACGGGAGGCAGCAGUGGGGAAUAUUGGACAAUGGGCGCAAGCCUGAUCCAGCCAUACCGCGUGGGUGAAGAAGGCCUUCGGGUUGUAAAGCCCUUUUGUUGGGAAAGAAAAGCAGCAGGUUAAUACCACGCUGUUCUGACGGUACCCAAAGAAUAAGCACCGGCUAACUUCGUG